UUUAUGGAGAGUUUGAUCCUGGCUCAGGAUGAACGCUGGCGGCGUGCCUAAUACAUGCAAGUCGAGCGAACUGACGAGGAGCUUGCUCCUUUGACGU
Molecule: ribosomal RNA, 97 nt
Filed under: Staphylococcus hyicus
Lineage: Bacteria; Bacillati; Bacillota; Bacilli; Caryophanales; Staphylococcaceae
Also listed under: 1 other name
Description: partial 16S ribosomal RNA
Rfam family: Bacterial small subunit ribosomal RNA
Source: RNAcentral